GGCCAGACUCCUACGGGAGGCAGCAGUGGGGAAUAUUGCACAAUGGGGGAAACCCUGAUGCAGCGACGCCGCGUGAGUGAAGAAGUAUUUCGGUAUGUAAAGCUCUAUCAGCAGGAAAGAAAAUGGCGGUACCUGACUAAGAAGCCCCGGCUAACUACGUGCCAGCAGCCGCGGUAAUACGUAGGGGGCAAGCGUUAUCCGGAUUUACUGGGUGUAAAGGGAGCGUAGACGGUGAAGCAAGUCUGAAGUGAAAGGCGGGGGCUCAACCCCCGGACUGCUUUGGAAACUGUUUGACUGGAGUGCAGGAGAGGUAAGUGGAAUUCCUAGUGUAGCGGUGAAAUGCGUAGAUAUUAGGAGGAACACCAGUGGCGAAGGCGGCUUACUGGACUGUAACUGACGUUGAGGCUCGAAAGCGUGGGGAGCAAACAGGAUUAGAUACCCUUGUAC
RNAcentral lists this ribosomal RNA (447 nucleotides) under uncultured bacterium. Its description in RNAcentral is "partial 16S ribosomal RNA". It matches the Rfam family "Bacterial small subunit ribosomal RNA", at positions 329 to 793 of the family's 1533-position model. The record is from RNAcentral.